This 1673-nucleotide unclassified non-coding RNA is filed under the name Hevea brasiliensis (rubber tree). The record is from RNAcentral. Lineage: Eukaryota; Viridiplantae; Streptophyta; Magnoliopsida; Malpighiales; Euphorbiaceae.
AUAUUAAAUUAUAAAUAUUGGUAGCAGCAGCACAGCCGUAAGAGAGUUGUUUGACAUUUUGAUUCACUGAAUUGGAUGUUGAAGAAAUGUAAUCUCAGAGCCUUCUCUGCUUCAGUUAAUGCAACGAAAUCAGAGCACAGCAAGAACCAGGAACUUUUGUUUCCUUGAUCUAGUGACAAGAUGAAACUAUUUUAGGACCCAACGCCAAGAUUUAAAUCUCAUUCAUACAAAAAUCCCUCAGCCAGUGCUAAAAUAAUCAGUUUCCUGCGCAAAGUGAGAACAGGAUGGCAGUCGACAAAUAAUCGAGUUUGCCACUUUGGGAAUAUAAUUUCUUUAAUCCUAGGUGAACCAUUUGCAGCAUGUCUCUUUGACUCACAUAAGGACAUCACGAAUUCCGGAUGACUAACCAUCCUAACAUCAAUGACAGUAGAAGAAUCAACAUUCUCCAAUUUGCCAUUUUACUUUCGACAUAGAUUACAAUUACAACAACGACAACCUUCUUCCUUUAUACUUAUAUUAGCCCUUGCUGAAUUGCAGGCUAGCACCAUUUUCUUAGCUUUAAAAUGGAAAUGGUGACAAAAAAAUUGUUAUAUUUUAGCAAGGAGAUGGUGAAGAUGCGCUUUUCGAACUACCAUUUGGUGUCCAUGCAUAAAUAAGCAAGCCCAAAACAAGGAUGAUAGCUCCUGCAACAAAUCCAGUUGGAAGGGUGGACGCAAUACCGAGAUAUGGCAGUGGCAGCGUGAACACAUAUACAGAUAUUGGCACUGAAAAUGUUGAAGCAAGGGAAGAUACAACAGCAGAAGAAAUCUUGAGGAGGUGCAGCAAUGAUAUGUUAAAACCCAUGUUGACAAGAACAAACAGCAAAGGUAGCAGAGGCGCACCGUCACAUCCACUAGAUAAACCACCAAUGUUCAGAAAACAAACUGCCCCAUCUUUAAGAUAGCUUGGAAGCUGACUAAAUGGUAUACCCCAUAAUUUCGACAUGAAAGGAAGAAGAAGACAUACAAACAAUGCUUGGAAAGCAGAUCCAUAGGAAUUUACAACAAAUAGAUCCACCGAACCUCCCUUUAGCUGCCGAGCAGUAUCCCGGAAAAUAAAUUCCUUGAGCACUGUAUCAGCUGCUUGCAAUAGAAAAGAGAAUAUCAUCAAAAGACUCCAAAAUAUGCUGGCAUCCUUCACUGAAUGAUUGGCACUAGAUCCACUUGCUACAGUUAUAAUCACGCCAAUGGCAACGAGGAAGCAUCCAAUUAGCUGAUUGACUUUAUAUCUCCUCCCAAGAAAAAUAAUUGACAAGAGAAUCUGCCAAACAAGAAAGGUCUGAGAUAAAAUUGGAAUUGAUGCUCCAGAAAGAAUUGCUGCAGCUGCCAUUCCUGCUGCAGCUCCAAGAGCCUCCAAAAGUCCUACAAGAAGAAACGGAGCUUUUGGCAGAGAAAGCAUCUCAUCCGUAACAAGUCCAGCAAGGUACCGGAUAUGCAAGAUAGUGAAGUAUACAAGGACAUAUCCGACAGUAGCGAGUUGAGCGAGAAAGAAAGGAUAAUGCUUGAGCGGAACCAAAGCCAGUUUAUACAACACCCGAUUUCCCACACCUAACACCACCGUAGCCGCCACUGCAACCGCCACCUCCAAUUUCCGAUUCUUACUCGUUGUACUACUACUCCCAAUCCUGUUUAUCU